This 1998-nucleotide ribosomal RNA is filed under the name Madrepora oculata (zigzag coral). Its description in RNAcentral is "16S ribosomal RNA". It matches the Rfam family "Bacterial large subunit ribosomal RNA". The record is from RNAcentral. Lineage: Eukaryota; Metazoa; Cnidaria; Anthozoa; Scleractinia; Oculinidae.
AGAAAAAUUUUUAUUUGUUUAUUUUAAUAAAUAGAUAAGAAACAGAUAGUGUUUUUUUAUAAUAAAUAAAAAAGAAAAAAAAAAUAAAAAGGAUAGCUAAGAUAAACUAAGAUUAGACGAUAUAUUUUUUGAAACGGUGGAGAUUAGAGGCUGAAAUAGUUAUUGUUUCUAAGGGAAAGCGAGGCGGAAGUUUGAACGGAAACAUCUUAAUAUUAAGUAAAAAUCAAACGAGAGCCCGAAAGUAGCGGCGAGCGAAAUUGGGGUAUCAUAUAAUAAAAAGACUACGGGUUUGUUUUAUAUGAUAGUUGUAUUAAAGGUGAUCAUAGAUCUAUACUAAACGUUAGUUUAUACUGAUAGUGUGAGUACUGUAAAGGAAAGCUGAAAGAGAGUUGAAAAGAGCUUGAAUUUAUUAUUUUUAAAGCAGUUUUGAAAUAACGUACCUUUUGUAUAAGGGAUAAAAAAGAUUAAUUUGGCGGAUUUAAAAAGGAAGGUUAAAAGAAAUUUUUAUUAGUCAAAGUGCCCGAAACCAAGUGAUUUAAUCAUAGAUAGUAUCAGAACAAACUGGUGGUUGUGACAAAAAUCUCAGAAAAUCUGUGAUUGGGGGUGAAAAACUAAUCGAACUUGGACAUAGCUGGUUUUCUGCGAAAACUAUUAAAGUAGUGUUCUUUUUUUUUUGUUUAAAUUGUCAUAAAAUAAAAAAACAAACAAAAAAAAGUAGACAAACAAAAAAUGAAAAGAUUUUUUGUUAAAAGAGAGAGCUCAAAUCAGAAGUUAAGGUCAUUUUUCUUUUUUAGCGUUAAAAAAAUAAAAAUUUAGAUAAUAAAAAAGUAGGCUUGGAACCAGCCAUCUUUGAAAAAGUGCGUAGUUGUUUAUUUAAAAAUUUUAAACUUUUAAAGAUUUUGGUGGCUAAAAUAGAACUAAAACUCUGAAAAUAAAACUUAUUUUGUAGCAGAAUGAACUGUUUUUCAGUAGAGAUUAUUUUUAUAUGAGUAAUAUUAAUAUUAUUGUUUUUCUUUAGAUUACCAUUUUUUGGGUAAAACAGCCUUUUAGAAUAUUUUUAAUGAGUUUUUUUUUGAAAAUAUAAAAUAUCAGGAAAAAGAAAAAAGAGAACUGUUUUUCUAAUUAAAGAAAGAGAAAAAAAAAAGAAACUUUUUUUAAGGAACUCGGCAAAGAAGGACUUCGACUGUUUACCAAAAACAUAGCUUUUUGAUUUUUAUAAAAGGUGAUACCUGCCCUGUGGUUGUAUCUAAAACAAAUUGGUUUUGCUUAUUAAUAAAGACAAUUAAAUGGCCGUGGUGACACUGACUGUGGUAAUGUAGCGUAAUCAAUUGUCAAUUAAUUGUUGACCGGUAUGAAUGGUGUUACGAAAGUUUUUCUGUCUUAAAAAAAGAUUUAAUGAAAUUGAAUUUGUGGUGAAGAUGCCACAUUAAAAUUGUAAGACGAGAAGUCCCCAUGGAGCUUUACUGAAAGCUUAUUUUAAAAAACUUUUUUUUUAUAAGCAGGACAGUUUUGUUGGGGCGACAGUUUUUUAAAAAGUAACGAAAACGAACUAUGACAAACGUUUCACUUUGAAAGUUUUUAGGAGACAUUAUUGGUGUGUUUUAUGAUCCGUUGUUUUGAAUGAAAAAAAUAACGAAAACAGAUAAAAGUUACCCUGGGGAUAACAGCGCAAUAGCGUUUGAGAGUUAAUUAACGACGAUGUUUGCGACCUCGAUGUUGAAUUGCAGUGUCCUAAGGUGUAGUCACUCUUAAGGGUUGAUUUGUUCAYUCAUUAAAACUGUACAUGAUUUGAGUUAAAAGCGUGGUAACACAGCUUGGUUUCUAUCUACAAUAUGAAGAAACAUUGAUAUAACUAUCUUCUGGUACGAAAGGAUUGAAGAAUUAGCGGUCCUCUUAUUUUGGUAAGUUACGAUCGAAUUUAAGUUAAUUACUGAUUACUUCUUAAGUGUGAAAAAGAUAUUGAAUUGUUUUAAAUGGUUUUUUUUGGUUUGUUUUUUU